This 528-nucleotide unclassified non-coding RNA is filed under the name Drosophila ananassae. RNAcentral describes it as "GF21949". The record is from RNAcentral. Lineage: Eukaryota; Metazoa; Arthropoda; Insecta; Diptera; Drosophilidae.
CACAGCCUCUCCCCCUUGACACUAUUUGGCCCAGGUGUGUCGGUACUUGGCCCAUCGUGUACUUCGGCUGGGGCUCGGCCCUCUUCGGCCGGCUGGACUGCAACAGCAGCAGCAGCAGCGGUGGCAGCCCGGUGGUCUGGCGCUCAUUUCAGUUCAUUGCGAACCGUCGAGCGAUUCGGACGUGCGAGCGGAAGUCGUGUGCUCUCUCUCACCUGCCAGUUGAAAUUGAAUGAGUGUUUGGCGCCCUCGUCGUGUUAAUUGCUACCUUUAUUUAUUUUUUUUCUUGUGUUGUUUGACUGAAAAAAGUAUUUAUUUUCAAAACCACCGUUCGAGCCAACACAAGAGAGAGGAUUGGAGAUUAGAAGAGAGAGCUCUAACAAGAAGGAGACGAGAGAGAGGAGAUCCUGAGCCCUUUUUGUUAAAUCGCAUCAGCAUCUGUUGCACAGACUUUUGGCCCAGAGAUGCCCCUUUGAGGACUGCCCUGCCCCACGCCAAAGGAGAAACACAAAGAGCUGGAAAGGUAAGUGA